RNAcentral lists this ribosomal RNA (548 nucleotides) under uncultured bacterium. RNAcentral describes it as "bacterial SSU rRNA". It matches the Rfam family "Bacterial small subunit ribosomal RNA", at positions 275 to 842 of the family's 1533-position model. The record is from RNAcentral.
GACGAUCAGUAGCCGACCUGAGAGGGUGAUCGGCCACAUUGGAACUGAGACACGGUCCAAACUCCUACGGGAGGCAGCAGUGGGGAAUAUUGCACAAUGGGCGAAAGCCUGAUGCAGCAACGCCGCGUGAGUGAUGAAGGCCUUCGGGUCGUAAAACUCUGUCCUCAAGGAAGAUAAUGACGGUACUUGAGGAGGAAGCCCCGGCUAACUACGUGCCAGCAGCCGCGGUAAUACGUAGGGGGCUAGCGUUAUCCGGAUUUACUGGGCGUAAAGGGUGCGUAGGCGGUCUUUCAAGUCAGGAGUGAAAGGCUACGGCUCAACCGUAGUAAGCUCUUGAAACUGGGAGACUUGAGUGCAGGAGAGGAGAGUGGAAUUCCUAGUGUAGCGGUGAAAUGCGUAGAUAUUAGGAGGAACACCAGUUGCGAAGGCGGCUCUCUGGACUGUAACUGACGCUGAGGCACGAAAGCGUGGGGAGCAAACAGGAUUAGAUACCCUGGUAGUCCACGCUGUAAACGAUGAGUACUAGGUGUCGGGGGUUACCCCCUUCG